RNAcentral lists this ribosomal RNA (585 nucleotides) under Triticum aestivum (bread wheat). Its description in RNAcentral is "partial small subunit ribosomal RNA". The record is from RNAcentral. Lineage: Eukaryota; Viridiplantae; Streptophyta; Magnoliopsida; Poales; Poaceae.
AUGCUGAAUGAGGAGGAAUUUGAAACAGCAUGGGAGGCGCUGCUAGAUAAGUACAGCUUGAGGAGCCAUAGCUACAUGACCCAAAUAUAUGAGACUAGGCGGAAGUGGGAAAAACCUUAUUUCAGAGGAGUGUUCUACGCAAAAAUGACAAGCACGCAAAGGAGUGAGAGUGCAAACCACAUGUUGAAGUCUUACAUGACACCAGCAAGCCCAAUGCACGUGUUUGUCAGGAAAUACAUGAAGCUACAGUUUGACCGCGAGGGCGACGAAAGCUACGAGGAAAAGAGGACGAUGAUAGGCGGUGCAGUGAGGCGGACUAAUCUCGCAAUAGAGCGACAUGCCAGCAAGGUGUACACCAGGAACAUGUUUGAGGAAUUCGGGCGUUUACUCAUGGAAGGAACUGCAUACAAUGUUACAGAGGUGGAAAGGAUGAGGAAAUACAGGACCACCCACAAUAAUGCAGCAAAAAGGGAAAAGUGGAGUAGGGUCGAGUACGAGGUGACCAUCAACAAAGACAGAUCGAUAUUCAAUUGCGAGUGCGGGCAGUUUGAUCACACAGGGAUGCUUUGCAGCCAUGUGUUGAGG